UACGAAGGGGGCUAGCGUUGCUCGGAAUUACUGGGCGUAUAGGGCGCGUAGGCGGGUCGUCAAGUUGGGGGUGAAAGCCCAGGGCUCAACCCUGGAACUGCCUUCAAAACUGGCGACCUAGAGUAUGGUAGAGGUGUGUGGAACUCCGAGUGUAGAGGUGAAAUUCGUAGAUAUUCGGAAGAACACCAGUGGCGAAGGCGACACACUGGGCCAUUACUGACGCUGAGGCUCGAAAGCGUGGGGAGCAAACAGG
RNAcentral lists this ribosomal RNA (253 nucleotides) under uncultured bacterium. RNAcentral's name for it is "partial 16S ribosomal RNA". It matches the Rfam family "Bacterial small subunit ribosomal RNA", at positions 524 to 776 of the family's 1533-position model. The record is from RNAcentral.